GAUGAACGCUGGCGGCGUGCCUAAUACAUGCAAGUCGAGCGAACGGACGAGAAGCUUGCUUCUCUGAUGUUAGCGGCGGACGGGUGAGUAACACGUGGAUAACCUACCUAUAAGACUGGGAUAACUUCGGGAAACCGGAGCUAAUACCGGAUAAUAUUUUGAACCGCAUGGUUCAAAAGUGAAAGACGGUCUUGCUGUCACUUAUAGAUGGAUCCGCGCUGCAUUAGCUAGUUGGUAAGGUAACGGCUUACCAAGGCAACGAUGCAUAGCCGACCUGAGAGGGUGAUCGGCCACCCUGGAACUGAGCCACGGUCCAGACUCCUACGGGAGGCAGCAGUAGGGAAUCUUCCGCAAUGGGCGAAAGCCUGACGGAGCAACGCCGCGUGAGUGAUGAAGGUCUUCGGAUCGUAAAACUCUGUUAUUAGGGAAGAACAUAUGUGUAAGUAACUGUGCACAUCUUGACGGUACCUAAUCAGAAAGCCCCGGCUAACUACGUG
Molecule: ribosomal RNA, 497 nt
Filed under: uncultured bacterium
Lineage: Bacteria
Description: partial 16S ribosomal RNA
Rfam family: Bacterial small subunit ribosomal RNA
Source: RNAcentral